Molecule: non-coding RNA, 434 nt
Organism: Ictidomys tridecemlineatus (thirteen-lined ground squirrel)
Lineage: Eukaryota; Metazoa; Chordata; Mammalia; Rodentia; Sciuridae
Source: RefSeq, a predicted model, not a curated record
ACUGUAUACAACUUUGGGUGUUAUUACCAAAGGUACAGUCAUUGAGGUGAAUGUCAGCGAGUUGGGCCUUGUAACACAAGGAGGCAAAGUGAUUUGGGGGAAAUAUGCCCAGGUUACCAAUAAUCCUGAAAAUGACGGAUGCAUAAAUGCGGUCUUACUUGUUUGACAACAGUUUUACACUUCUUGGAAUUAUUAUAAGACUACAAAUCAAUCAGGAAAACCACCAUUACUGUACAGUGAUAGUUCUGAAUACUACCAAACAGCCUUAAUAUUAAACUGUUUAAAAAAAAAAAAAAACAUUAAAAUGAGGGAGUUUGCAGGUUGUUCUUUAUUUGGGGGUUUAUGUUAAGGGUUUACAUGUUUUUAAGAAUCAACAAUUGAAAAAGCAAACCCAUAAAUACCAGUAUCUGCAUUAAAGAGUGGAUAUUCAGCAA